UCUAAAAUUUUAAAAUUUACAAAACUAACCCUUUCAAAAUUAUAUUUGUAAAAAUUUUUUUUUUUUUUUUUGCCACGUAGGUGUGAGGGUAAAUAUCUCUUAUGAAAGCGAUGAAUCAUUCACCCUCUUUCGCUUAUUUAUUGUUUCUCUUUAUAUUUCAUAUAUAAUUUUAACAACCAUAUAAAAAUUUUAACAAAUCAUAUAUAAUCUUAACAAUCUAAAAAUCUUAAUAAUUUAUCCAUAUAAUUUCAUAUAAUCUUAACCGCCUGAAAAUCCUAACAGUCUAUCCUAACAAAUCACAUAUAAUCUUAACAAACUAAAAAUCUUAAUAAUUUAUUCAUACAAUUUCAUAUAAUCUUAACAGCCUGAAAAUCCUAACAGUCUAUCCUAACAAAUCACAUAUAAUCUUAAUAAUCUGAAAAUUCUAAUAAUUUAUCCAUAUAAUUUUAUAUAAUCUUAACAGCCUGAAAAUCCUAAUAGUUUAUACAUACAAUUUCAUAUAAUCUUAACAAUUUGAAAAUCCUAAUAAUCUAUUUAUACAAUUUCAUAUAAUCUUAACAGUAUGAAAAUCUUAAAAAUAUAUCCAUAUAAUUUUAUAUAAAUUUAACAGCCUGAAAAUCAUAAUAAUCUAUUUAUACAAUCAUAACAAUCAAAUAAAAAUUCUAAUAAUCUAUAUAUAAUCCUAACAACCUUAUUUUUUUCUAUUUUCUAUAUAAUUCACGCACAAUUUUAAUAAAUGCGGCGAAAGCGGUGAAUGAUUCACCGACUUAAAAGAAAUAAAAGAAAACGGUAAACAAUUCACCGCCUUUAAAAGAUAUGAGAUAAAAUCCCAUGUGGUUCAUACAUGGCGAAAAGAGAGUUAGUUUGCAAAAUAUAAUUUUGGUAGGAUUAUUUCGUAAAUUAUAAAAUUUUAGAAGGUUAUUUUAUAAAAUUCUAUUUUUUUGGUAAAAAUGUAUAGAGA
This 961-nucleotide long non-coding RNA is filed under the name Ananas comosus (pineapple). RNAcentral describes it as "long non-coding RNA (ACOM_LNC001492)". Lineage: Eukaryota; Viridiplantae; Streptophyta; Magnoliopsida; Poales; Bromeliaceae. The record is from RNAcentral.